This 14512-nucleotide long non-coding RNA is filed under the name Lathyrus oleraceus (garden pea). RNAcentral's name for it is "Pisum sativum (pea) long non-coding RNA (PSAT_LNC033128)". The stretch from base 2949 to 3021 matches the Rfam family "tRNA". The record is from RNAcentral. Lineage: Eukaryota; Viridiplantae; Streptophyta; Magnoliopsida; Fabales; Fabaceae.
UUAAAGUAGCACGAUCUAAUUCAAAAAUUUCACCCAAUUGAGCACGCCGAGCAUAUUUUUUCACAGUAGCAGGAUCACUAUAACUGACUCCAUUGAGUUCGCCACCAUAGAAUUCAACAAUUACACCUACUUGUUCGACACUAUACUUCGAUUCUGCCCUUCGAAAAGGAACAUCUGCUAACAAUUCCGUCUCCGUCUACCAAAACAACCGGAAAUGUUUCAAAAAAAGUAGGCAUACGAGUACAAAAAGUUCACGCCCCUCUUUGUCUCUAAAGAUAGGAUGCCCUAACCAACCAACCGCUAUUCCAUCUCAUUGUCCAUUGACCCCUCUAACAAAACCCCUUUUGCCGGAUUAUUACCGAUGUAAUCAUAAAAACUAAUUUUUCAGGAAUUUUAGACCAAGCUUCUGAUAAACUUUGAUUUUCGACUAGCCCACACCAACUCUUCGAUAAUUUUCUUGCUGGAAGUAUCCUGAUCCCAUUGAUAACGAGUAGGACCAAAUAAUUCAAUCGGGGUAGUUGCUGAACCAUACCACAUAGUUCCAGCAACAACAAAAGCUCAAAAAAUACACAAGCGAUACUACUGGAAAGGACCGUUUCAAUAUUUUCCAUACGCAAUCCUUUGUAUAAACGUUGAGGUGGACGCACACUAAGAGUGAAAAGACCCGCUAAUAUUCCCAUGUCCCUGCUGCAAUAUGAUGAGAGGCUAUUCCCCCCGGAACAAAAGGAUCAAAACCAUCCACCCCAGGCGGGAUUUACAGAUUGUACCCUUCCUGUUAGUCCAUAAGGAUCGGAUACCCAUAUUCCAGACCAAACAAUCCGUUUACAUGAAAGGCGCCAAAACCAAAACACGCGACCCCUGCAAGAAAUAAAUGAAUUCCAAAUAUUUUGGAAAUCCAAAGAAGGUUUUCCAGUACGUUCAUCACAAAAGAUUUCGAGAUCCCAAUAGACCCAAUGCCAAAUAGCCGCCAAAAAGCACAAGCCCGAAAACACAAUAUGUGCCGCGCCACACCUUCGUAACUCCAAAUACCCGGAUUCGUUAUAUGCCUCCUGUAAUAUUCCAACCACCCCACGAAUUGGUUAUUCCUAAACGAGUCAUGAGGGUAUAACGAACUACCCUGUCUCCACAUUGGGUCAAGAACAGGGUCAGAGGGAUCAAAAACUGCUAAUUCAUAUAGAGCCAUCGAACCGGCCCAACCAGCAACAGAGUGUAUGCAUUAUAUGGACAAAAAGUAAAGCCGGGAUCAUUUAAUACAAGGUAUGAACACGAUACCAAGGCAAACCCAUGAAAAUACCCUUAAUAUUAACAAAAAAUGGACACUAUGUAACUUUAUUGCACUGUAAAAAACUAUGCUAUGGACCUCCCCCUUUUAGUAAAUUAUCUCGCAUUAAAGAAUUUAUAUUUUUUCUAGUAGAAUUGAUAUUUGUUCUAGUUUUUUAGAAAAAAAGGAACAUUCUAUUCGUAGGAACAAAAAGAAGCAAUUAUUCUAUAUCGAUAAGUAACAAUACGCAAUGGUGGUGGGGUUUACUUUUUUUGAUAUGCGUGUUUAUAUUCAGUGAAUGCAGACAAGUGUAGACACAAAAAGUCUACGUACGGGUCUUUCUUGGUUGAAUUACAAAGAUAGAGCUUUUCAUGUCAUGAGUUGAUGUGAUUUGGAAUCAAGGCUGGGUAGAUGUCACAGAUGAUGAAUUGAUUUCUUACCUAUGUAAUCUAUUUUUCUUUUGUUCGUCGUAUAAUAAUGAUUCAUGAAUCAAUUAUUUUCAAUUGUAUCUUUCAAGUGGUAUUUUCUUAUUUUCCUAUUUUUAUCUCAAAAAAAUGGAAACUUAGGAAAGUGCUUUAUAAACAUAUGUAUAGAAAGAAUAUAUUUCAUCUAGUUUCCUUAUCCCACUCUAACCAGUUAUUUCGGUUUUCUACUAGCAGUUUUAACUAUAACCGCAGGUAUUUUUAUCAGUCUGAAUAAGAUACGACUUAUUUGUUUGCAAUUUUGAGAUGGAUUGGAAAUUUUAGAAUAUUUAGGAUAUUCUCCUUAUCAUAUGACCAAUUCUUGGUCAUUGAGAUUCAUGGUCAAUAUAAAUUCAUAUUUAAGGAUCGCUAUUAUCCCCACCUUUUUUACUUUCAACCAAACUCAAAUGAUCGAAGUUUUUCUAUUUGGAAUCGUGUUAGGUCUAAUUCCUAUUACUUUGGCUGGAUUAUUUGUAACGGCCUAUUUACAAUACCGACGUGGCGAUCAGUUGGAUAUUUGAUUUAUUACUGUCUCUUUUGUAUAUUGACCUCCUUUUUUUUUUAAUCCUAAUUUACAGGAGAUCAAAUUAACACUUUGGAUUAGACUGUUAUCCCAUUAUUUUAGUCUCAAUUUUAGAAGAAUGGUAUCACGCUCUGUAGGAUUUGAACCUACGACAUCGGGUUUUGAAGACCCGCGUUCUACCGAACUGAACUAAGAGCGCUUUCUUUAAUCAUUUUAUGUCCGAUGAUGGCAAUACAUCUUUUGCAUGCAUACAAACUCAAUAUGGAGAACUAUUCAUAUAACUAUUCAUAUUGAGUAUUUAUGUCCAAUUUGAAUCGCUCAUAAUUGAUCUAUUGUUACUGCUGAUACGAUAACUAAUAGUUAGGGAUAGGGAUGACAAGAUUUGAACCUAUUACAUUUUGUACCCAAAACAAACGUGCUACCAAGGUGCGCUACAUCCCUUUACAUCAGUUUCCAGUGUCAUUCUAAAUUUUUUUGUCUUGUUUUCCACAUUCUUCCAUUAUAUAUAGAAUAUAUCCUGCCAUUUUUUCUCGUUUGUUUUUUUACUUUCUUAUAUCGAUCGUAUAAAGAACAAAUAUUCUUAUAGAAUAUUUUUGGAACAUAAAUACUCAAUAUGAAUAGUUAUAUGAAUAGUUCUCCAUAUUGAGUUUGUAUGCAUGCAAAAGAUGUAUUGCCAUCAUCGGACAUAAAAUGAUUAAAGAAAGCGCUCUUAGUUCAGUUCGGUAGAACGCGGGUCUCCAAAACCAAUGUCGUAGGUUCAAAUCCUACAGAGCGGAUACCAUUUUUCUAAAAUUGAGACUAAAUAAUGGGAUAACAGUCUAAUCCAAAGUGUUAAUUUGAUUCCUGUCAAUUAGGAUUAAAACAAAAAAUAGGAGGUCAAUAAACAAAAGAGACAUAAUAAAUCAAAUAUCCAACUGAUCGCCACGUCGGUAUGUAAAUAGGCCGUUACAAAUAAUCCAGCCAAAGUAAUAGGAAUUAGACCUAACAGAUUCAAAUAGAAAAACUCAAUCAUUUGAGUUUGGUUGAAAGUAAAAAAGGUGGGGAUAAUACGAUCCUUAAAUAUGAAUUUAUAUUGACCAUGAAUCUCAAUGACCAAGAAUUGGUCAUAUGAUAAGGGAAUAUCCAAAAUAUUCUAAAAUUUCCAAUCCAUCUCAAAAUUGCAAAACAAUAAGUCGUACUUAUUCAGACUGAUAAAAAUACCUGCGGUUAUAGUUAAAACUGCUAGUAGAAAACCGAAAUAACUGGUUAGAGUGGGAUAAGGAAACUAGAUGAAAUAUAUUCUUUCUAUACAUAUGUUUAUAAAGCACUUUCCUAAGUUUCCAUUUUUUUGAGAUAAAAAUAGGAAAAUAAGAAAAUACCACUUGAAAGAUACAAUUGAAAAUAAUUGAUUCAUGAAUCAUUAUUAUACGACGAACAAAAGAAAAAUAGAUUUACAUAGGUAAGAAAUCAAUUCAUCAUCUGUGACAUCUACCCAGCCUUGAUUCCAAAUCACAUCAACUCAUGACAUGAAAAGCUCUAUCUUUGUAAUUCAACCAAGAAAGACCCGUACGUAGACUUUUUGUGUCUCACUUGUCUGCAUUCACUGAAUAUAAACACCAUAUCAAAAAAAGUAAACCCCACCACCAUUGCGUAUUGUUACUUAUCGAUAUAGAAUAAUUGCUUCUUUUUGUUCCUACGAAUAGAAUGUUCCUUUUUUUCUAAAAAACUAGAACAAAUAUCAAUUCUACUAGAAAAAAUAUAAAUUCUUUAAUGCGAGAUAAUUUACUAAAAGGGGGAGGUCCAUAGCAUAGUUUUUUACAGUGCAAUAAAGUUACAUAGUGUCCAUUUUUUGUUAAUAUUAAGGGUAUUUUCAUGGGUUUGCCUUGGUAUCGUGUUCAUACUUGUAUUAAAUGAUCCCGGCUUUACUUUCUGUCCAUAUAAUGCAUACACUCUGUUGCUGGUUGGGCCGGUUCGAUGGCUCUAUAUGAAUUAGCAGUUUUUGAUCCCUCUGACCCUGUUCUUGACCCAAUGUGGAGACAGGGUAGUUCGUUAUACCCUCAUGACUCGUUUAGGAAUAACCAAUUCGUGGGUGGUUGGAAUAUUACAGGAGGCAUAUAACGAAUCCGGGUAUUUGGAGUUACGAAGGUGUGGCGCGGCACAUAUUGUGUUUUCGGGCUUGUGCUUUUUGGCGGCUAUUUGGCAUUGGGUCUAUUGGGAUUCGAAAUCUUUUGUGAUGAACGUACUGGAAAACCUUCUUUGGAUUUCCAAAAUAUUUGGAAUUCAUUUAUUUCUUGCAGGGGUCGCGUGUUUUGGUUUUGGCGCCUUUCAUGUAACGGAUUGUUUGGUCUGGAAUAUGGGUAUCCGAUCCUUAUGGACUAACAGGAAGGGUACAAUUGUAAAUCCCGCCUGGGGUGUGAUGGUUUUGAUCCUUUUGUUCCGGGGGGAAUAGCCUCUCAUCAUAUUGCAGCAGGGACAUGGGAAUAUUAGCGGGUCUUUUCACUCUUAGUGUGCGUCCACCUCAACGUUUAUACAAAGGAUUGCGUAUGGAAAAUAUUGAAACGGUCCUUUCCAGUAGUAUCGUCUGUGUAUUUUUUGGCUUUUGUUGUUGUUGGAACUAUGUGGUAUGGUUCAGCAACUACCCCGAUUGAAUUAUUUGGUCCUACUCGUUAUCAAUGGGAUCAGGAAUACUUCCAGCAAGAAAAUUAUCGAAGAGUUGGUGUGGGCUAGUCGAAAAUCAAAGUUUAUCAGAAGCUUGGUCUAAAAUUCCUGAAAAAUUAGUUUUUAUGAUUACAUCGGUAAUAAUCCGGCAAAAGGGGUUUUGUUAGAGGGGUUCAAUGGACAAUGAGAUGGAAUAGCGGUUGGUUGGUUAGGGCAUCCUAUCUUUAGAGACAAAGAGGGGCGUGAACUUUUUGUACUCGUAUGCCUACUUUUUUUGAAACAUUUCCGGUUGUUUUGGUAGACGGAGACGGAAUUGUUAGCAAAUGUUCCUUUUCGAAGGGCAGAAUCGAAGUAUAGUGUCGAACAAGUAGGUGUAAUUGUUGAAUUCUAUGGUGGCGAACUCAAUGGAGUCAGUUAUAGUGAUCCUGCUACUGUGAAAAAAUAUGCUCGGCGUGCUCAAUUGGGUGAAAUUUUUGAAUUAGAUCGUGCUACUUUAAAUGGGAUGGUGUUUUUCGUAGAGUCCAAGGGGUUGGUUUACUUUUGGACAUGCUUCUUUUGCUCUGCUCUUCUUUUUCGGGCACAUUUGGCAUGGUGCUAGAACCUUGUUCAGAGAUGUUUUUGUGGUAUUGAUCCAGAUUUGGAUGCGCAAGUAGAAUUUGGACAUUCCAAACUGGGAGAUCCUACUACAAAAAACAGGGAGUCUGAUAGAAAUAGGUUUGUUCCUUUUAUUCGACUUUUUUUGUUGUUAUUUGAAUUUGAUAUAGGGAACUAGACAAAUCUUGAUUCAAUCAUUCCAUUUGUUUUUACUCUUGUUCUUUCUUUUUCUUUAUCAGGAGAUAAUCCCCCACCCAAAAAAGGUAUGAAGUUAUAAUUGUACCACGAUCAAUCUAUGGAAGCAUUGGUUUAUACAUUCUCUCUAGUCUCGACUUUAGGAAUUAUUUUUUUCGCUAUUUUUUUUAGAGAACCCCCUAAAGUUCCAACUAAAAACACGAAAUGAUUUUGAAUUAUCUCAAUUGAAGUAAUGAGCCUCCAAUAUCGUAAUAUGGGGGGCUCAUUACUUCCCUAUCUCUCGUUCUUCAAUGGAUCUCUUAGUUGUUGAGAGGGUUCCAAAAAGUAUAUAAGGCAUACCCAGUAAAACUUAAAUUAAGGAUAUAGAGAUGGCAAUUAGGGUGUGUUUCCAUGAUUGUAUAAUAUCAAGACUACAAUGGAUCUAUAGGUAAGAUCCUUUAUCUACAGCGGAAUGGUAUACAAAGUCAACAGAUCUCAAUCAAAAAUAGGAUUUAUGGGUACACAAAACGUUGAGGGUAGUUCUAGAUCUGGUCCAAGACGAACUGUUGUAGGAGAUUUAUUGAAACCAUUGAAUUCAGAAAUGGUAAAGUAGCUCCGGGGUGGGAACUACCCUUUGAUGGGAUUGCAAUGGCCCUAUUGCGGUAUUUUUUCUAUUAUUUUAGAGAUUUAUAAAUUCAUNGGGUUCUUCCAGUUUUGAACUAUUUUUUAUAAUACUAAUUAAUGAAAUAAAUUUUAUUUAGAUUUAGAAAUUCUAUUGUAUUCCAGUGGUGUAAUAUAUAUAUAAUCUUGAAAAAAAAAAAAGCUAUUUGAAUCAAACAAAUAUUGAAAUUGUUGCCAUCUUGAUAUCCGGGAAUCCAGAUAAUUGGAAACGGAUUACUAUUCCAAACUUAAUUAUUUUGAAUUUUAUAUUCAAUUUAAUCAAAUUAAAUUUUGGAAUACUAAAAAGAUUCUUUCUUUUUAUUUAUUAGUUACCGGGAUUCUGAAAAGAAUCGGAAAUCUCAAAAUGAAAAUAAGAAGAAUAAAAAUUGCGUUGCUUUUUCAUUAUUUCAGAUGAUUGGAACCAAUACAAAGAGAAUCGAUUUAGAGAAAUGUGGACGCCAUGAAUUGACAUUCCAUCUAUAUCCAUAGAUCGAUAUCCAAUAUCCAUAUGAAAAGAAAAUGAUAGAUUGGUUCCUCCAUAUUCACUCUUUUUUUUUUUAGUAAAACAUUCUAUUUUUAUCCUCCUACCGUAAUAGAUAAUAUAGUAGAAACAAAUUGAUUUUAUUUCUUCUACUAUAUGGAUUUAAUAGAAUUCUGCUGGUUGUAACCUUCUUUCAUUUUAUUUUAAAGAAUAAAAUUCAUUAGUCGUCCAAUAACACGUAACAAUAAUAGCAGUAGAGACAUAUCCAAGAAUGACUGACCUAUUCAUAAAAACGUUCCUUUAUUCAUUAUUCAUUUAGUCUUCUUUUUUUAUAUUAUCUGGCUGGGGGGUGGAGCACAACUUCACACCAAAGCACAAUCUAGUUGACAGACAACUGCCAACUUGAUUAUUUUUUAUGCCAGUAGGUGUUCCAAAGGUAGGCUUUGAAGUUCCUGGCGAUGAUGAAGCUUCUUGGAUUGACUUAUACCAUCAACUUUUUUUCGACAGACUACUUUUUUUAGGUCAAGAGGUUGAGAGUGAAAUAUCAAAUCAAGUUUGUGGUAUGAUGAUAUAUCUCAGUUUAGAGAACAAGUACAAAAAUUUGUAUCUGUUUAUAAAUUCUCCAGGCGGAGAGUUCUAUCUGGAUUGGCCAUUUUUGAUAUUAUGCAAUUUGUGGAAGCAGAAGUACAGACAGUAUGCGUAGGAUUAGCCGCUUCAAUGGCAUCUUUGAUUUUGCUAGGAGGCGAAAUUACCAAACGUCUAGCAUCCCUCACGCUUGGCGCCAAUGAUUCUUAUUUGUAGAAAAAAAAAAAGAAGACUUUGCCUACGCCAAUAUGAAGUAAAAAAAGCAUGGCACUCUGAGUUCGAUAUGCAAAAAUAAUUUUUUUUUUCAAAACAAUUCGAUUAUAUAUCGAAAGAGUAGUAGGAAAAAGGGGUAUUUAGGAUUUUAUCUGAUCUAUUAGAGCCUCUGUUUAGUGUCACGAUUUUUUUUACUUAUUUGAAAAAAAAAAAGAAACUUUGGAUUGCUGAAUCAAAAACUAGACGAAAUAAGAGAGCAACGGAAUCAUCAUAGUCUUUAAAAUUUAAAAAUAUUCUCAAAAAAGAAAGCUGGUUAUUGGAUUCUCCUGAUCUGGUCUGAUCGACCCGGUAUAUAUUUUUUUUUAUUUCUUCAAUGAAAAUGAAAAAUUGAAAGUAGAGCCGUAUGCUAUAUAACAAAUCGCUUGCCUGUACGGCUUUAAAUGAAGUUCUUUUGGAUAGCCCUUUUUUAAGUCAAGAUUCAGAAAAACCUUAUUAUACUCUCAGGGUAAUGAUCCAUCAACCUGCUAGUUCUGCUUAUGAUGGACAAUCGGGAGAAUGUAUGCUGGAAGCACACGAAUUACUGUCAAUUCGACAAACGAUGACAAAUAUUUAUUGCCAAAGAACACGCAAACCUUCCUGGCAGAUAUCUAAAGACCUGGACAGGGAUUUUUUUAUGUCAGCAGAAGAAGCCCAAGCCUACGGAAUUAUUGAUACAAUAGCAGAUCUUGUCUUUGGUAAAUAGAAAAUUUGCCUAUGUCCUAUUUAUAGAAAAUAUUCUAUUAGGAAUAUUUCUGUCCUGUUAUCCUAAUAAACACCGAAUUUGCUUUCAAACAAUUUUAUUUCUGUCCCCAAUAUUUUUUUGCUCUUUCCAAUUCAUGUAUUUAUUAGUAAUAUUUGAUUUAUUCCUAAACCUCUAUGCUGUUUAUUCCUAAUAAAUACAUGAAUUGAUGUUGUCUUUUAUCUUUUUAAUUGUCUUAACAACCAGAUUUAAUAGAGUCGAAUAAAUUCUAAAUUGAAAUUAUUGGGUUAGGAUUGAUCGAAACCAGCUCAUUAUGUAUAUGAUUCACCAUGCCAACUAGAAAACAACUUAUUAGAAACACAGACAGCCAACCGGACUGUAACAAAAUCUCCGCUCUUCGGGGAUGCCCUCAACGCCGAGGAACAUGUACUAGGGUGUAUGUGCGACUCGUUUAGAUCAUAUACUCAAAUUAAAAAAUCAAUUCUAUUAAUAAGAAUUGUAUAUAUAUAAUUCUAUUGUGUAUAAAAUUUAUGGUUUCUCAAUUGGUGCAAACCAAAUCACCUUAAUUUGUAAUUUAAGAUGAAAAGUAUUUUCCCAUUGGUAAUAAAUAGUUAUCCAUUAAGCGGAAAAAUCCUAUUUGAAAGAAAGACAAAUUAUGCCAUAAAUUUAGCAAUAACGGACUAAGAGGGUCAACUACCCAGCUAAUAUUCAUACUUAAAUACCGUUACUGUAUAGCUAGAUUUCAUUGUAAAGACCUAUUACUAGAUAUUUCAUGGUAGAGCCCAGAAGUGUGAACUGUACAAGUUCACAAUAACAUUGAUUGAAUAAAGAUUCAAUGAAGGAAGGGGCUCCGGUGUAUAGAGAGGACCUCACCGUUUAACAAGUAAUCAUAGAAACGAUGGAACCCACCAUUUCUUUGUUUAUUUCUUAUUUACUAUGUUUUUGGAAUACCUAGUAUCAAUAGAAGUUAUUAUUUAGAGUGAAAUACUUAGAAAAAACAAAAAAAUAGUGGUUGGGAAGGUUAUAGUAGCAAAAGCCAUUGGAAUUUUAUUUUAUACAUUGGAAGAAUCCAUGUUGUUAGUAAUAUACUAGAAAGGAUAAAAGAAUAACUGAAAGAAAAAAAUCAAAAUAGUUAUUCAUCAAAGUCUCAUUUAUCCAAUGACCAGAACUAAACGAGGAUCCAUCGCUCGAAAACGGAGGACAAAAAGUACAUCAAGCUUUCGUGGAGCUCGUUCAAACCGUACUCGAACUAUUUUGCAACAGAGAAUAAAAGCUUUGGUUUCGUCUCAGCAGGAUAGAGAUAGGAAAAAAAGGACUUUCGCAGUUUGGAUCAGUCGAAUAAAUGCAAUAAUUGGCCAGAAUAAACAAAAAAUCUACUAUAGUAAUUUAAUGUAUAAUCUGUACACGAAUCAAUUGCUUCUUAACGUAAAAUCGUUUCACAAAUAGCUAUAUUAAAGGGGAAUUGUCUUUUUAUUAUUUCCAACGAUAUCAUCAUUUUUUAAUAAAAAUUCCCCGGAGACUGAACUCCGGGAAGGUGGUAGAAUAAAAGAGAUUUGUAUGAUAAAAUAGAAUUCAUAUGAAUUAUCAAAAUAAAUAAUCAACCACGCUCAAAAAAAAAAUGAUUCUUCUUUUCUUCACCUAUUAUCGUUUUCUUUAGAACGAAACAAUCUCAAUAGGAUUGUCGGAUUUUCUAAAAAAAAAAUACCAAUCCGCAUAAACUUUGAGUUUAGAUUCAAUUAAUGAAGUAACGUAACUCUAUUUUUUUUUUUUUUUAGAACAGGAGUUCUAGUUCUAGUAAUUGACUUUCUUUUUUCAUAUUUUUUUUUUGCAUUAUUAACAAAAGAUGACGAAUUUACAAAAGGUAACAAAGAUAAAAUACGAGCUUGUUUAUAGCAAUCGUAAUCAAUCGUUGUUGUUUUAAGGUCAAUUUAUUAACACGUCUCGAUAAAAUUUUCCCUUGUCGACUGAUAAAUUUGAAAAGUAAACUCAAGUUUUUAUAAUCAAUUCGAUCCCCAGAUUGGAUUAGGGGCGAACUCCUACGAAUUGAUUGCUUCGAUUUAACAAACAGUCGCUUAGAUUUAUCCAUGGUUUGUUUACUCCUAUACCGAAAAUCCCGUUGUUAUAAAAAAAGGAUUUGUUUUAGUUAUAUUCUUUUUUUUUUUUCUAAAUAUUUUGUUAGAUAAGAAAAUCGAUGCUAUAUAAUGAUAUAUAUUUAUAAUUUCAUGUUUAUUAUAAUCCGGUAUCUAUAUAAUUCAUUUUGAUGUUAUUUAUAAUUUUUUUUUUUUUUCAAUUUACCUCCUAAGGGUGACACACAAGUAAUCCAUUUUCUCUAUUUCUUGAUCUCUGCGUGAAUCAUAUGUUUGCAACAAAAGGGACAGAAUUUCUCAAUUCCAAUCGACUAGGCGUAUUGUGUCGAUUCUUUUUAGUAAUAUAUCGAGAAAUCCCUCUAGAUUCCUUAUUAACACUCUUUUAUCACAACUAGUACAUUCUAAAAUAACAGUUAUUCGGAUAUCUUUACGCUUAGCCAUGAACCUCCUUUGGUUUUUUUUAUUCACUAACUCUUCGAUUUUAAGAUUCGAAGGAAGAAAAAAAGGAAUGAAAAAAAAUAUAAGUUGAUAAUUGAAAAUCAAAUUCUGAAAUAUUUUGUUCCAAUGAAUUUAUAUAGUACAGUAAUAAUUCACUACUACAAUGCUUUCGAAAUAGAUUUCGAAUCACAGUAUAGUAUUUCAGUUUUGAUGAAAAUAUCUUGUAUGAUAUUAUUGUCCCUACCUACCCUAACAAGACCAUUUCUGGUCUGACUAUUAAUAAUAAUUAUUAAUAGCAAUGGAAUCGAAGUAUUAAUUCAAUUCCAUUGAAACGAAACCUGGGAAAAAUUCCAAAUUUCACUGAGGCCAAAUCCACCUUUUUAAUUUCCUUUUUUUAAUUCUAGUAUAAUUAGAAAAAACGAACGAAGAGGGAUUGAAUCACAGAUAUUUUAUUGGACUCUAAUCUUCGGCACCCUUUCCCGUGCCAAUAACUAGAAUCAAAAAAAGGGGAAUGUCAAUGCAUCUGGGAAUAAACGAUUGAUUUCGAUCAAGAGACCUGCUAGAGCCGCGAACCAUAAAGUACUUGCCACUGGUGCCACAGAGAGAUAUGUUUUUAGAUCUCGCAUUUCAAAUCCUCCUUCGUUUUUUCUUGUAAUUUGUAAUACAUAAUAAUACAGAAUAUAGGAAUAUUAUUCAAUGUUUUUUUAUUAAUAAAACCACUUGGAUUUGUCAGGGGAAGUCCGAAUCCAAAUUGAAUUGUACAACAAUAAUUAGAUAUUUUUUUAUAGAGUACUAUUUAAUAUUUAAAUAUUAUUAUUUUAUUUCUUUUAUUCAAAGAAUAUAUUAUUAAUUAAAUAUUAAAUAAAUAUUUUUAAUUAUUCUAUUUUUCAUAUAUAAAUUCUAUUAUAUAUAUCUUAUUAUUAUUUGUAUAUUCUUUGUUCUUGUUAUUAGACUCUUUGUAUCUUAUUAUUUAUAGAUGCUUCUCUGUUUUUAAUUAAUUGACUAUUUUGAAUCGCUCACAAUUGAUCUCUUGUUACUGCUGAUACGAUAACUAAUAGUUAGGGAUAGGGAUGACAGGAUUUGAACCUGUGACAUUUUGUACCCAAAACAAACGCGCUACCAAGCUGCGCUACGUCCCUUUACAUCAGUUUCCAGUGUCAUUCUAAAAAAUUUUUGUCUUGUUUUCCACAUUCUUCCAUUAUAUAUAGAAUAUAUCCUGCCAUUUUUUCUCGUUUGUUUUUUUACUUUCUUAUAUCGAUCGUUUAAAGAACAAAUAUUCUUAUAGAAUAUUUAUAGUCAAUUAAUUAAAAACAGAGAAGCAUCUAUAAAUAAUAAGAUACAAAGAGUCUAAUAACAAGAACAAAGAAUAUACAAAUAAUAAUAAGAUAUAUAAUAGAAUUUAUAUAUGAAAAAUAGAAUAAUUAAAAAUAUUAUUUUAAUAUUUAAUUAUAAUAUAAUUCUUUGAAUAAAAGAAAUAAAAUAAUAAUAUUUAAAUAUUAAAAUAGUACUCUAUAAAGAAAUAUCUAAUUAAUUGUUGUACAAUUCAAUUUGGAUUCGGACUUCCCCUGACAAAUCCAAGUGGUUUUAUUAAUAAAAAAACAUUGAACAAUAUUCCUAUAUUCUGUAUUAUUAUGUAUUACAAAUUACAAAGAAACGAAGGAGGAUUUGAAAUGCGAGAUCUAAAAACAUAUCUCUCUGUGGCACCAGUGGUAAGUACUUUAUGGUUCGCGGCUCUAGCAGGUCUCUUGAACGAAAUCAAUCAUUUAUUCCCAGAUGCAUUGACAUUCCCUUUUUUUUUAUUCUAGUUAUUGGCACGGGAAAGGGUGUCGAAGAUUAGAGAUCCAAUAAAAUAUAUGUGAUUCAAUCCCUCUUCGUUUGUUUUUUCUAAUUAUACUAGAAUUAAAAAAAGGAAAUUAAAAAGGUGGAUUUGGCCUCAGUGAACUUUGGAAUUUUUCCCAGGUUUCAUUUCAAUGGAAUUGAAUUAAUACUUCGAUUCCAUUGUAAUUAAUAAUUAUUAUUAAUAGUCACACCAGAAAUGGUCUUGUUAGGGUAGGUAGGGACAAUAAUAUCAUACAAGAUAUUUUCAUCAAAACUAAAAUACUAUAUUAUGAUUCGAAAUCUAUUUCGAAAGCAUUGUAGUAGUGAAUUAUUACUGUACUAUAUAAAAUUUAUUAGAACAAAAUAUUUUAGAAUUUGAUUUUGGAUUAUCAACUUAUAUUUUUCUUCAUUCCUUUUUUCUUCUUCUCUUCGAAUCUUAAAAUCGAAGAGUUAAGUGAAUAAAAAAAACAAAGGAGGUUCAUGGCUAAGCGUAAAGAUAUCCGAAUAACUGUUAUUUUAGAAUGUACUAGUUGUGAUAAAAAGAGUGUUAAUAAGGAAUCUAGAGGUAUUUCUCGAUAUAUUACUAAAAAGAAUCAACACAAUACGCCUAGUCGAUUGGAAUUGAGAAAAUUUUGUCCCUUUUGUUGCAAACAUAUGAUUCACGCAGAGAUCAAGAAAUAAAGAAAGUGGAUUACUUGUGUGUCACCCUUAGGCGGUAAAUUGAAAAAAAAUUAUAAAUAACAUCAAAAUGAAUUAUAUAGAUACCAGAGAAUAUAUCUUAAACAUGGAAUUAUAAAUAUAUAUCAUUAUAUAGCAUCGAUUUUCUUAUAUAACAAAUAUAUUAGAAAAAGAAAAGAAUAUAACUAAAACAAAUCCUUUUUUAUAACAAACGAGAUUUUCGGUAUAGGAGUAAACAAACCAUGGAUAAAUCUAAGUGACUGUUUGUUAAGUCGAAGCAAUCAAUUCGUAGGAGUUCGCCCCUAAUCCAAUCUGGGGAUCGAAUUGAUUAUAAAAACUUGAGUUUACUUUUCAAAUUUAUCUGUCGACAAGGGAAAAUUUUAUCGAGACGUGUUAAUAAAAUGACCUUAAAACAACAACGAUUGAAUAUGAUUGCUAUAAAACAAGCUCGUUUCAAUGAUAUCAAAAUUUUCAAAGUAUGAUAGUGUUCUUCUUUAAAAAAAAUCAAACUUCCAAAGCUCGUUUAUGUUUAACAAUUUAUUUGUAGGAUUACAACAUAUGAUGAUUGUAGCGGUAAAUUCAUGAUCAUCAAGCUAUGGAUAAGCACGACAUCAAUAAAAUAAGAGUUGCCACCGCGCUUUAUUGUUUCCAAGGGAAAAGGGAAAAGUACGAACAAAACGCAAAAAGUAAGAAGUUUUCAAAUCAAAACUAAUAAAAUGCCAGAAAUUACAGGUAAGGGGGUUGGUUACACAGAGGAAAGGUGUUUGCACCAAAAGUGUCCUAGGUACUCCUAGGGAGCCCUUUCUUGUGCGCAUAUGUAUUUUGUAUAAAUUGAUGUUUACAAACAAAUAUAAUGGGGGGAUGAGAAAAAGAAUUCAUUAAUUAUAUUUUUUGUGUUUGACAAGACCUUCGGACUUGUGCCUACGUACCAACAUAAAAAUGAGGGAUCAAAAUCUCGUAGUUCGUGGUAUAAAUUUCAAAAUGGAUGCAUUGCUUUUAACAAAAUUAAGCUUAAAAGGCACAAAGGCCUAAAAUGGUUUGAAUGAGUUAGUUCUUUUUGUCUUUUGAAAAGUCUUAAGUCAAGUAUAGUUAAAUUUAUUUACAAGUUUGAUUAAGAAGAGAAGUUUGAAAAUGCAAUGACAUAAGGCCAAAGUUUCUAAUUU